This 782-nucleotide ribosomal RNA is filed under the name uncultured bacterium. RNAcentral describes it as "bacterial SSU rRNA". It matches the Rfam family "Bacterial small subunit ribosomal RNA", at positions 61 to 838 of the family's 1533-position model. The record is from RNAcentral.
GUCGAACGAGAGACCUUCGGGUCUCUAGUGGCGAACGGGUGAGUAACACGUUAAAAACCUGCCCGCGCACCGGGAAUACGCUCUGGAAACCGUGAACAAAUCCCGAUGUACAGGAAGGAGGCAUCUUCUUUCUGUGAAACAUCCUUUAGGGGAUGGGGCGCGGAUGGACCUGCGGUGCAUUAGUUGGUUGGCGGGGUAAAGGCCCACCAAGACGAUGAUGCAUAGCCGGCCUGAGAGGGCGGACGGCCACAUUGGGACUGAGACACGGCCCAGACUCCUGCGGGAGGCAGCAGCAGGGAAUUUUCGUCAAUGGGCGCAAGCCUGAACGAGCGAUGCCGCGUGAGUGAAGAAGGCCUUCGGGUCGUAAAGCUCUGUUGCGGGGGAAAAAAGGCAGCAUCAGGAAAUGGGUGCUGACUGAUGGUGCCCCGCCAGAAAGUCACGGCUAACUACGUGCCAGCAGCCGCGGUAAUACGUAGGUGGCGAGCGUUAUCCGGAAUGAUUGGGCGUAAAGGGUGCGCAGGCGGUCCUGCAAGUCUGGAGUGAAACGCAUGAGCUCAACUCAUGCAUGGCUUUGGAAACUGGAGGACUGGAGAGCAGGAGAGGGCGGUGGAACUCCAUGUGUAGCGGUAAAAUGCGUAGAUAUAUGGAAGAACACCAGUGGCGAAGGCGGCCGCCUGGCCUGUUGCUGACGCUGAGGCACGAAAGCGUGGGGAGCAAAUAGGAUUAGAUACCCUAGUAGUCCACGCCGUAAACGAUGAGGACCAAGUGUUGGGGGUGAAACC